GGGGUGGUAGAUCAGCGGUAGAUCGCGGGUCUUGCACACCCGAGGCCCCGGGUUCAAAUCCCGGCCACUCCACCA
RNAcentral lists this transfer RNA (75 nucleotides) under Promethearchaeota archaeon. Its description in RNAcentral is "tRNA-Ala". It matches the Rfam family "tRNA". From Rfam's summary of the family: Transfer RNA (tRNA) molecules are approximately 80 nucleotides in length. The record is from RNAcentral. Lineage: Archaea; Promethearchaeati; Promethearchaeota. RNAcentral also lists the same sequence under 5 other names.